CCAGACUCCUACGGGAGGCAGCAGUCGGGAAUAUUGCGCAAUGGAGGAAACUCUGACGCAGUGACGCCGCGUGCAGGAAGAAGGUUUUCGGAUUGUAAACUGCUUUAGACAGGGAAGAAAAAAGACAGUACCUGUAGAAUAAGCUCCGGCUAACUACGUGCCAGCAGCCGCGGUAAUACGUAGGUGGCGAGCGUUGUCCGGAUUUACUGGGCGUAAAGGGAGCGUAGGCGGACUUUUAAGUGAGAUGUGAAAUACUCGGGCUCAACUUGAGUGCUGCAUUUCAAACUGGAAGUCUAGAGUGCAGGAGAGGAGAAUGGAAUUCCUAGUGUAGCGGUGAAAUGCGUAGAGAUUAGGAAGAACACCAGUGGCGAAGGCGAUUCUCUGGACUGUAACUGACGCUGAGGCUCGAAAGCGUGGGGAGCAAACAGGAUUAGAUACCCCAGUA
Molecule: ribosomal RNA, 445 nt
Filed under: uncultured bacterium
Lineage: Bacteria
Description: partial 16S ribosomal RNA
Rfam family: Bacterial small subunit ribosomal RNA
Source: RNAcentral